Molecule: ribosomal RNA, 468 nt
Filed under: uncultured bacterium
Lineage: Bacteria
Description: partial 16S ribosomal RNA
Rfam family: Bacterial small subunit ribosomal RNA
Source: RNAcentral
GACGAACGCUGGCGGCGUGCUUAACACAUGCAAGUCGAGCGGAAAGGCCCUGCUUUUGUGGGGUGCUCGAGUGGCGAACGGGUGAGUAACACGUGAGUAACCUGCCCUUGACUUUGGGAUAACUUCAGGAAACUGGGGCUAAUACCGGAUAGGAGCUCCUGCUGCAUGGUGGGGGUUGGAAAGUUUCGGCGGUUGGGGAUGGACUCGCGGCUUAUCAGCUUGUUGGUGGGGUAGGGGCUUACCAAGGCUUUGACGGGUAGCCGGCCUGAGAGGGUGACCGGCCACAUUGGGACUGAGAUACGGCCCAGACUCCUACGGGAGGCAGCAGUGGGGAAUAUUGCACAAUGGGCGGAAGCCUGAUGCAGCAACGCCGCGUGCGGGAUGACGGCCUUCGGGUUGUAAACCGCUUUCGCCUGUGACGAAGCGUGAGUGACGGUAAUGGGUAAAGAAGCACCGGCUAACUACGUG